This 253-nucleotide ribosomal RNA is filed under the name uncultured bacterium. Its description in RNAcentral is "partial 16S ribosomal RNA". It matches the Rfam family "Bacterial small subunit ribosomal RNA", at positions 524 to 776 of the family's 1533-position model. The record is from RNAcentral.
UACGUAGGGACCGAGCGUUGUCCGGAAUCAUUGGGCGUAAAGCGCGUGUAGGCGGCCACUUAAGUCCUGCGUGAAAUCUUGCGGCUCAACCGCAAGCGGUCGUGGGAAACUGGGUGGCUAGAGUGCGGGAGAGGAGAGUGGAAUUCCUGGUGUAGCGGUGGAAUGCGCAGAUAUCAGGAAGAACACCCGUGGCGAAGGCGGCUCUCUGGAACGCAACUGACGCUGAGACGCGAAAGCGUGGGGGGCAAACAGG